Molecule: ribosomal RNA, 253 nt
Filed under: uncultured bacterium
Lineage: Bacteria
Description: partial 16S ribosomal RNA
Rfam family: Bacterial small subunit ribosomal RNA
Source: RNAcentral
UACGUAGGGUGCAAGCGUUGUCCGGAAUUAUUGGGCGUAAAGAUCUCGUAGGCGGCCUGUCACGUCGACUGUGAAAACCCGAGGCUCAACCUCGGGCCUGCAGUCGAUACGGGCAGGCUAGAGUUCGGUAGGGGAGACUGGAAUUCCUGGUGUAGCGGUGAAAUGCGCAGAUAUCAGGAGGAACACCGGUGGCGAAGGCGGGUCUCUGGGCCGAAACUGACGCUGAGGAGCGAAAGCGUGGGGAGCAAACAGG